Long non-coding RNA from Ixodes scapularis (black-legged tick), 1768 nucleotides. RefSeq lists it as uncharacterized. The transcript is spliced from 3 exons. The record is from RefSeq and is a predicted model, not a curated record. NCBI's taxonomy places the organism in Eukaryota, Metazoa, Arthropoda, Arachnida, Ixodida, Ixodidae.
UUUUGGUUUCAGCUGGAGGGCGUCAAUAACGACACCCUGAACCAGAGGCGGUUCUGCGGUCGACAGUUUCCCCGUGCGAAUGGCGUCCGCACGCUCGGGGACAGCUUCACCAUCUGGUGGUUCUCGGAGCCGCUGCCGGGGGCCAAGAGGACAGCCAGCUUCAAGGUGGUCAUCGUGGCCUACGUCAACGCGUCCGCGUUCAACGGUCACUGUCCAUACGGCUGGCGGCAGUGCGGUGAUGGUGCCUGCAUUGAGCCUGGAGUUUGGUGUGACACCAUUUACAACUGCGGAGACGGCAGCGAUGAGACUCCGGAAAUAUGCGGCGCGUCCUCGUACCGGCUGACCAUUCCAGGAAUCGUCAUCAUUGCGGUGGUGGUGGCCUUUGCUGUGAUCGCAAUCCUCCUGGUCAUCUACGUUCGCAGGCGCAGGAAUGCCCACCGUGCAGCUUAGCAUGGAAGCCGGUGCACUAAAACCAUGGUCCCUAACUAGGAGAGGCAUGGAGCGCGUUUAUGACUGCUGUGUUUACCACGUCCAAAAAAAGAAGUGGUCCCUCAAUUCCCGUCUGGCGACGUCAUAGAAGUGUCACGCUGUCGCCGGUCGCGAUCCUGGCGGUGUGCCAGCAGCGGUGGUAGAUGUGGCAGACGCCUGUUCUGCCGCAGGUCGCUUUCCAGUUUGGCAGUCCACGGAAGUUUCGGCAGCCAGGUGUUGGGACGGCGCGACGACAGCGACACUCGCGCUCGCUCGUGCUUUUUGCCAGCGCGUAUCUUCGACCAACCGCCAGGACCGCGACAUCCGCUAGCAUGACACUCUGGCUUAUGUGACGUCAUUUGGUGCCACUUCGGGGACACUUUUUAUGUGUCGCGAGAUAUAUAGGACGCUAAACAGACCAGUCGGAGACACGCUCGCGAGGCCCCAAACUAAGCCAAACAGAAUGCCCCUUUUCAGGAUACGCGAGAGAACGUGUGGACUGAACAUCAUUGUGUUUCUUUUUUUUUUGUUUGUUUUGGUUUUGGUUUUAACAGAAGUGAAGUUGGGGUUUGCAUAGCCGUCCCGUGCCGUCGCCGCCGCCCUUUCUCCAAAAGUGAGCUGAGUAGAACGUUUCUCCAAACGUUCUACUCAGCUCACUUGCCGACAACUCGAAAUCCUCCCUUAGCAGCGUGGAGUUCGUGCUGCGCCGGGAAAGAGGGUGGCUUUCGACUCACCGAGAUACCGGAACCGCCCAGAGAGCAGAGACGGCUGUCUCCGCCCUCUUGAAAGACGCGUCCACGACAAAAGGUGACGGCAGCCACCCCUCCCCACUCAAAGGGAAAAACUUCGAGGCAGGGCGCGUACAACCGUUUCAAACUAUGCAAAAGCUGUCGGCUCCAAGGUAAUUAGAUUUUUGCGGAGUAGGAUGUAUGCUCCAAUAGUAGUAAAGAAUUUGCGUCAGAGCUCAUGCCGUGCGCUUUCCUUCUCGUGGGUAACAUUCGCGUGUUUUCACUCCCGAUGACUCUGCAAUGUGGAUUGGCGACACACUGGUGUCGGUGAAGUGGGAGCUCCUCCUACCCCUUUCCACUUUAGCAGAGAGCGAACGCAAGAGAGCGGGACCUCCGCUCCAGCACUCGCUCUGCUAAAGUGAAAAGAGGUGGGAGGAGAUUCCACUUUGGCUUUUAACCUGUCACUACGUCGUGGUGUAAGUAGAGAACAUUGAAAGGCCAAAAAGAACAAGGCUAUACGCAUAGCAACUAAAUAAAAAUGAGUUUUCCCAAGCACAUCUCGUCUCUACGUG